AAACGACUCUCGGCAACGGAUAUCUCGGCUCUCGCAUCGAUGAAGAACGUAGCGAAAUGCGAUACUUGGUGUGAAUUGCAGAAUCCCGUGAACCAUCGAGUCUUUGAACGCAAGUUGCGCCCAAAGCCAUUUGGUUAAGGGCACGUCUGCCUGGGCGUCACGCAU
This 165-nucleotide ribosomal RNA is filed under the name Phelipanche purpurea subsp. bohemica. Its description in RNAcentral is "5.8S ribosomal RNA". It matches the Rfam family "5.8S ribosomal RNA". From Rfam's summary of the family: 5.8S ribosomal RNA (5.8S rRNA) is a component of the large subunit of the eukaryotic ribosome. Lineage: Eukaryota; Viridiplantae; Streptophyta; Magnoliopsida; Lamiales; Orobanchaceae. The record is from RNAcentral.